GUAGCGGGGGACAACGUUUGGAAACGAACGCUAAUACCGCAUAACAAUGAGAAUCGCAUGAUUUUCAUUUAAAAGAAGCAAUUGCUUCACUACUUGAUGAUCCCGCGUUGUAUUAGCUAGUUGGUAGUGUAAAGGACUACCAAGGCGAUGAUACAUAGCCGACCUGAGAGGGUGAUCGGCCACACUGGGACUGAGACACGGCCCAGACUCCUACGGGAGGCAGCAGUAGGGAAUCUUCGGCAAUGGGGGCAACCCUGACCGAGCAACGCCGCGUGAGUGAAGAAGGUUUUCGGAUCGUAAAACUCUGUUGUUAGAGAAGAACGUUAAGUAGAGUGGAAAAUUACUUAAGUGACGGUAUCUAACCAGAAAGGGACGGCUAACUACGUG
Molecule: ribosomal RNA, 387 nt
Filed under: uncultured bacterium
Lineage: Bacteria
Description: bacterial SSU rRNA
Rfam family: Bacterial small subunit ribosomal RNA
Source: RNAcentral